GACGAACGCUGGCGGCGUGCCUAACACAUGCAAGUCGAACGGAGUUAUGCGCUGAAACGGAGACAGCUUGCUGAGGAAGUUUCUUGUAUAACUUAGUGGCGGACGGGUGAGUAACACGUGAGUAACCUGCCGAAGAGAGUGGAAUAACGCCCCGAAAGGGACACUAAUACCGCAUAAUACUUUAGAAUCGCAUGAUUUUGAAGUCAAAGGAGUAGUCCGCUCUUCGAUGGACUCGCGUCCGAUUAGAUAGUUGGUGAGGUAACGGCUCACCAAGUCGACGAUCGGUAGCCGGGCUGAGAGGCUGAACGGCCACAUUGGGACUGAGACACGGCCCAGACUCCUACGGGAGGCAGCAGUGAGGAAUAUUGGGCAAUGGGGGAAACCCUGACCCAGCAACGCCGCGUGAGGGAAGACGGUUUUCGGAUUGUAAACCUCUGUCCUCUGUGAAGAUAAUGACGGUAGCAGAGGAGGAAGCUCCGGCUAACUACGUGCCAGCAGCCGCCGUAACAC
This 510-nucleotide ribosomal RNA is filed under the name uncultured bacterium. RNAcentral's name for it is "bacterial SSU rRNA". It matches the Rfam family "Bacterial small subunit ribosomal RNA", at positions 28 to 526 of the family's 1533-position model. The record is from RNAcentral.